UUAGAUAACUUAACAUGUGCCCUUAGGGCACAAGUUAACAUGACCCUUUAACUAAUCACAGAAUUUUCUUUAAUUAAAUAAUUAUACAUAUAUUGCAGAAUUUCAAUUUCUACAUAUAUUAUACACACACACACAUAAAUCUUGACAACAAUUCCACAACAUAAUUAUCAUUAUAAAUAUGACAUAUAAUUAACAACUUGUGUUUAAUUUGUAGGUCUAUUCAACCUAAAACAACUUAAUUUAUAUAUUAUAGUAUAUGGGUAGGAGGACUCUUAUACUUUAAUUUAUUAAUACAUAUUAUAUUUGCCAUUAAAAAAACUUUAUUUUCUCAUCACUAAAAAGUCCUGUAGUGAUUUUUUGGUUGCAACAUUAUUCUUCAUCAGAUUUGUAGAGAAUGUCCUCCAAGCUGGUCAUUGGCUGAAAUAAUAGAUGGAAAAUAAAUACAAUAUGUUAUAAUUGAUGAAAUGUAGAAGCAUCAUAAAAUAAAAAAAUAUAAUAUACUGUUAAAUAGAGGACUUAUAUAUUUUUUGGUACAAUAAAAAAAAACUUAUAUACUAUUAAAUCUUUUAUUAUAAAGUAGCAACACUUUAAUUUGUUUAAGGCAAUUUAAUUUAAUUCCUCACCAAUAUCAUUGAGUAAUUUUCUGCUUCCAGGAAUACUUUUAUGAGCAUUCUUUUUUAUCCAAGGAUAUUUUGCAUGGAAAGACCUCCAAUCAACUUUAGACUCUGCAUUAUUAAAUAGAGAAAUUUAAACUUACAUGGAAUGUAAAAAAAAGCAUAAUAGAAAUUUGAAGGUAUUAAAUGGGUUGUUUUUGGAGGAAGAUUAACAUUUCAAGCAGAUUUAAAGAGCAUGUUUGGAUUUGAUUUUUUUUUUUAACUUA
Molecule: long non-coding RNA, 880 nt
Filed under: Trifolium pratense (red clover)
Lineage: Eukaryota; Viridiplantae; Streptophyta; Magnoliopsida; Fabales; Fabaceae
Description: long non-coding RNA (TPRA_LNC013134)
Source: RNAcentral